Taeniopygia guttata (zebra finch) is the source of this 1981-nucleotide long non-coding RNA. Lineage: Eukaryota; Metazoa; Chordata; Aves; Passeriformes; Estrildidae. The record is from Ensembl.
AUGCGACUCUCAGCAGAUUUGAACGCAACGAAUGGGCUGGAUCAAGUUGCUUCCACUGUGCCCACACCCAAAAGGAGGUCAGGCAUCCCGAGGCAGCCAGCCUGGGCAUGCAGAGGGAGCAGGAUCCCAGUUCUUGGCUGCAUCUCCUGCACAGACACCAGCAAGCAGCGUUUUCUGCCAACUGAAGCGAUGGAAGCAGCGAAUAACCCCGGCAUGCCCAGGCUCUGCACAGCCCAACUGUCGGCCAGCUGCCUGUUCCUGGGAGGACACAGUGCCACAGGCAGGGAGCAUUUUCUUGCUAUAAUCAAGAAAAGAAAUUGUGCGGAUCAGAGCAGCUGAAUGGCAGCCAAAUCUGCUUCUCGGCGGCUUUUCUACACUCUGUAUUCAUGUAUUUGGCAUGACUAGCUCUGCAUUGAGGUAAUUCAUUAAUGCUCAACCAAAAAUGUGUUUAUGGAAGUCUUGAAAUAGUUGGUAGAAGUGUAAGACUUUCCUUCCUAAAAGCCUGGGCUCUCUCUGUGAUGGGAACUGGGUAUUAAAGCAACGAGUGCUGCUACAAUCAGCUGCCAGGGAAGCGACUGCAGGCAGCGUGUGCCCUGUGCAUUCUGGCUUGCUCUGAUCUCCUUGUGCUAAAGCCUUUCCCAGGAUUUAGUGUCCAUAAGCACCACGGGUGGGAUUUGCAUCAGUUCUGCUCAUGCCUGGGGUGUGGGGACCUCACCCCAGGUUUCACAGAGAGCAGCUUAGGGAGCAAACAGGAUGAUGUGCCUGGAAGUGCAGCACUCCGAGCUGAUGGUAGGACCAGAGAGUUGGCUGGACCAGAAGGGACUGUAGCAGAGCAAAAGCAGGGGAAGGGGAGGUAGGACAGCCCUGGGGAGACCCAAGGUCUCUGGCCAUCACCCAGGAGGUGAAGUGGGUGCACCCAUGCAGAGCAAACAGCUUUUUUAGGGUAGCUGUGGGUUUCGCUGCUCGCACAAUGGAUAUCGCUGUUGUCGUUCCAGUUAUAAUCCUGUAUAAAUAAGGCUGACCUCUGGUUAUUGAAAAGAGCUGAAAAUAAAGACAACUUUCUCUGCUUCCUCAGAUGCAGAGUCUGAUUGCCAGGCUUGGCCAACACAGCCCACACCGUGCUCCCAGCUCAGCCCUGCAGCUGCUGGGGACCUGCGGCGCGGUUGGCAGCAGGGCAGAGUGGCAGUGAGCACCCAGGCAGAGAGCCACUGUGGCCCAGGACACCUUCCCACUGUCCCUGAUGCCCUUCACUUGUCAGAGGGAGCUGGCAGCCAAAAAAAAAGAGCACAUGAGCAGAAAAUAGUUGAGCUGGGCAUUCCCUGGACUGGGAGUGGCACAACCGCCCACUUUCCCCCACUUGGGUGGGAGUUUGAUCCCUGGAUGGGGACACAGGGGAUUUGUCACCCUUGUACAGGCACAUGGCUGCAGCCAGGAUGCUCCUGACACAGAUGCUGAACCACAGCUGCCUCACUCGACACUUUCCAGCUUCACCUGACCCACUGAACUAUUUGUGCCUGAGGAAACCGGGCGCGGAGCUGGAGCGAGGGAGGCUCUGGUGAACACAGCAUUUCCCAGCGGAUGACUUCAGCCUCCCAGCAGGGCUCACAGACAGCCCCAGCCCGAGUCCUUUGCUCUGCAGGAAGCUCCUUUCUUUGGGAAGCCUUUGUUCCAGCAAGGCUGGAGCAGCCCCAGCCCCAGGGGAGCCCACGGGACCGGGGGCACCUCUCAGGGCACUGGGGGAGCCGCCAGCCUGGGCCAUGCUGCACAAGUCCCCCCAACUAUGUGAGAAAUAGCCCGUGGCCACCCCAAGGAUCCCCAUCUCCUUUGGCAGGUGUCACAUCCAUCCCACCUGGCUGCACUGCUCCUAGUGGCCUAAUGAUAAUUAUUGACUAUCAUUAAUAAUAAAUCUCUUCCUGUGAAAUAUCUCAUUCAUCCCAUUGGACACACAAUGGCACCAGCCACACGCUGCUGGCAAUUGCAU